GUCUCUUACAGCAAAAGGCGAUAGCUGUGGCUCCCAGGGCACUGAAAAUUCAUUCCUGCUGUGUUUUCCCCGCAACGUAGAGCCUCAGCACCGCUCUGCUCAGACUUUCAGUCCGCCAAGCACUUACCGCAAGUCUCCUUGUGCCGGACGGACCCCAGAGACCCAGGCAUGGUGGAACAGUCCUGGCCUCAGGACGCUCGCAGGCUCCCAGCAGAGAUGGCCACGUGCACGCCCAAUUACGGUCUCGUGCAGCCAAUGUCAAACAACGAUCAGAACGGCAACGGCAACUUGGCACGUGCCAGCCACGCAGAGAUGCAGGCUCCGAGACUAGGGAGCAGGAGUACAAUCGUGGCAAAGAAAAGCUAGGACGUUAAGAGCUAAAGUGAAUGGAGCCCUUCACUCUCUGAGCGCUCUGCAAAGAUUAAUUUACUUAAUCCUCACAGCCCCCUGAGGAGCACUGUUGUGGGCCCUGUUUUACAGACAAGGAAACCGAGUCAGAGGGGAAAGGCGGGCGGACGCUGGAAUCCUGCAAAACUCUGGAACCCAACAAGCCUGGGUUCCAGUUCUGCCGUGACAGACACGUGCUCGUCGCAUCCUGGGGAAGUCCCUUCACUUCUGAGCCUCUGUUCUCUGGUCCUGGAAGUGCUCAUGCCUGAGGGAAUGGCAGAACUGCUUCCUGAACUUCUUCCUCCUGGCAGUUAACCAAGCUUUCUUCGAAGAAAUCCUUUUCCACACUCGUGGCCCCAGAUAUGGGACUAGUCAUAUUCCUACCCCUAGGAGCUGCGGGAGGCGAGGACAUGCCAGCCGGCUGGCCUGGGAGGAGCUGGCAGCUUUCCCUCCGAAGCUUCCUGCCCACCCACUGGGCCCAGGGCCUGUUCCCCAUUCAGCUGCCUGCCGGGCCCCCUCCACCCCCCGCAGAGGGCGAACCAAGCAUCCUGAGCAUAUGGAGAAGGGGUUACUGGCAGCCCCCUGACUCAUCCUGCCGCUGAAUAAGCCGGGAAGGUGACUGAUUUAGGGAACAUGCCAAUUUGCUAUCAGGGCCUGAUCACUGGGACGCAGCUCCCCAGGGACAAGAAAAUGAAAAAUAUGACUAAACUGUCCUCCCACACGGGCUGUCAUUAAAACAGUGCUCGCUGUGUCACAGA
Molecule: non-coding RNA, 1145 nt
Organism: Microcebus murinus (gray mouse lemur)
Lineage: Eukaryota; Metazoa; Chordata; Mammalia; Primates; Cheirogaleidae
Source: RefSeq, a predicted model, not a curated record